UCGAAGGACAUGGUGCUAGACACAUCCCAUAAGCCUCCUGAUUGUCGACUAAUAGGAUGUAGGGGAUAUUGUUUACAUCAUAUUUAGACCAAUAUCUACAAUUCAAAGACCGAUCAAUAAUAGGUCCUAAAAUGCCAUUUAGUAUAGAUUGAGUAAUAACAUCUUAGGCAAGUUGUACAAGAGGCUUUGGAAAGAUGUCAAUAUUAAGUACUAAGGUAUAAACCCA
Molecule: long non-coding RNA, 226 nt
Filed under: Elaeis guineensis (African oil palm)
Lineage: Eukaryota; Viridiplantae; Streptophyta; Magnoliopsida; Arecales; Arecaceae
Description: long non-coding RNA (EGUI_LNC004726)
Source: RNAcentral